RNAcentral lists this ribosomal RNA (492 nucleotides) under uncultured bacterium. RNAcentral's name for it is "partial 16S ribosomal RNA". It matches the Rfam family "Bacterial small subunit ribosomal RNA", at positions 29 to 507 of the family's 1533-position model. The record is from RNAcentral.
AGUGAACGCUGGCGGUAGGCCUAACACAUGCAAGUCGAACGGCAGCACAGUAAGCGCUUGCUCUUACGGGUGGCGAGUGGCGGACGGGUGAGGAAUACAUCGGAAUCUACUUUUUCGUGGGGGAUAACGUAGGGAAACUUACGCUAAUACCGCAUACGACCUACGGGUGAAAGCAGGGGAUCUUCGGACCUUGCGCGAUUGAAUGAGCCGAUGUCGGAUUAGCUAGUUGGCGGGGUAAAGGCCCACCAAGGCGACGAUCCGUAGCGGGUCUGAGAGGAUGAUCAGCCACACUGGAACUGAGACACGGUCCAGACUCCUACGGGAGGCAGCAGUGGGGAAUAUUGGACAAUGGGCGCAAGCCUGAUCCAGCCAUACCGCGUGGGUGAAGAAGGCCUUCGGGUUGUAAAGCCCUUUUGUUGGGAAAGAAAAGCAGCAGGUUAAUACCCCGCUGUUCUGACGGUACCCAAAGAAUAAGCACCGGCUAACUUCGUG